RNAcentral lists this ribosomal RNA (253 nucleotides) under uncultured bacterium. RNAcentral's name for it is "partial 16S ribosomal RNA". It matches the Rfam family "Bacterial small subunit ribosomal RNA", at positions 524 to 776 of the family's 1533-position model. The record is from RNAcentral.
UACGGGGGGUGCAAACGUUGCUCGGAAUUAUUGGGUGUAAAGCGCACGUAGGCGGUCCCUUAAGUCGGGUGUGAAAGCCCUCGGCUUAACCGAGGAAGUGCAUUCGAAACUGGGGGACUUGAGUACUGGAGAGGAUGGCGGAAUUCCCGGUGUAGAGGUGAAAUUCGUAGAUAUCGGGAGGAACACCAGCGGCGAAGGCGGCCAUCUGGACAGAUACUGACGCUGAGGUGCGAAAGCGUGGGGAGCAAACAGG